Molecule: non-coding RNA, 531 nt
Organism: Misgurnus anguillicaudatus (oriental weatherfish)
Lineage: Eukaryota; Metazoa; Chordata; Actinopteri; Cypriniformes; Cobitidae
Source: the annotation of a RefSeq genome assembly
GGCUACAUCACAUCUAGUUAUCAUGACCAUGAUGCUGUCAAGAGGUUUAGUAAAGUCUGAUCACUGCUUUACAUCUCAUCACACGCUUCAGUGCUCUGUGUGUUUAUAACAGUCUGACUUUAUAACACAGUGCUGGAAAAACAACAAAUACACAAAAUGAAUCUCUUCAUCAUCACCUUCAUCUGGAUUCUUGGAGGUUUUAUUCAAGAAUCCAGAGGAGUUACUGUAACUCAGAGUAAAGAUCAAUCUGUUUCUGUUGGACAAACCGUCAAUAUAAAGUGUACAACUGAUACUGGAAUAUAUUACAGUAAUUUAUAUUGGUAUCAGCAGAAACCUGGAGAAACUCCUAAACUCAUCAUUAGGGCUAUUAAUACUCGUCAUGGUGACACUUCACAGAGAUUCAGUGGCAGUGGAGCAUCUGGUGGUACAGAUUUUACUCUGAGCAUCAGUGAAGUUCAGACUGAAGAUGCAGGAGAUUAUUACUGUCAGAGUUUUCACAUCAUCAGUGGUAGCUAUGUGUUCACACAGUGA